RNAcentral lists this ribosomal RNA (944 nucleotides) under uncultured organism. RNAcentral describes it as "bacterial SSU rRNA". It matches the Rfam family "Bacterial small subunit ribosomal RNA", at positions 469 to 1411 of the family's 1533-position model. The record is from RNAcentral.
UUGACGGUACCCUACUAGAAAGGAGCCGCUAACUUCGUGCCAGAAGCGUCGGUAAUACGGGGGCUCCAAGCGUUAUCCGGUGUUAUUGGGCGUAAAGAGUCGUGUAGGUGGUUGGGUAAGUUAUCUUUCAAAUAUCUUUGCUUAACAAAGAGGAGGGGGAUAAUACUGCUCGACUAGAAUUUUCUCAAGGGAGAUCGGAACUGAGGGAGGAGUAGUGAAAUGCGUUGAUACCCUCGGGAACACCAGUGGCGUAGGCGGAUCUCUGGGAGAAGAUUGACACUGAGACACGAAAGCUAGGGGAGCGAAGCAGAUUAGAGACCUGCGUAGUCCUAGCCGUAAACGCAUGCUUGCUAGCUGCAUGAAUCUACCUUCGGGUGGUAUCGUGUGGCGAAGGUAACCCGUUAAGCAAGCCGCCUGGAAAGUACGGCCGCAAGGCUGAAAUUCAAAGGAAUUGGCGGGGAGGCACACAACCAGUGGAACAUGUGGUUUAAUUCGAGACUAACCGAAGAACCUCACCAGGGUUUGACAUGUAGCUGCACGUCUUAAGAAAUUAAGACUCUCUUGAAGGUGCUACACAGGUGCUGCAUGGCUGUCGUCAGCUCGUUCCGUGAGGAGUGCCCUUAAGUGGGACAACGAGCGCAACCCCUAUUACAUGUUAGAAAUGUCAUGUAAGACCGCCUUGCCAUUUGGCGGGGAGGAAGGAGGGGCAGACGUCAAGUCCGCAUGGUCCUUAUGCCCUGGGCUACACACAUGUUACAAUGAGUACGGCAAUGAGUCUGUCGCGAGCACGUAAGUGUAAGCUAAUCUCUUAAAUGUACUCUCAGUGGGGAUUGAGGUCUGCAACUCGACCUCAUGAACACGGAAUUGGUAGUAAUCGCGGGUCAGCUAUACCGCGGUGAUACGUUCUUGCCUCUUGCACACACCGCCCGUCAAACCAGCAAAGU